GUGCCAGCAGCCGCGGUAAUACGUAGGGGGCAAGCGUUGUCCGGAUUUACUGGGCGUAAAGCGCGUGUAGGCGGAAUGCCAAGUCUGGCCUGAAAGCCCCCGGCUCAACCGGGGAUCCGGGCUGGAAACUGGUUUUCUUGAGGACGGCAGGGGAGUGUGGAAUUCCUGGUGUAGCGGUGAAAUGCGUAGAGAUCAGGAGGAACACCCAUGGCGAAGGCAGCACUCUGGACCGGACCUGACGCUGAGACGCGAAAGCGUGGGGAGCGAACGGGAUUAGAUACCCCCGUAGUCC
RNAcentral lists this ribosomal RNA (292 nucleotides) under uncultured bacterium. RNAcentral's name for it is "partial 16S ribosomal RNA". It matches the Rfam family "Bacterial small subunit ribosomal RNA", at positions 505 to 796 of the family's 1533-position model. The record is from RNAcentral.